Apis mellifera (honey bee) is the source of this 398-nucleotide long non-coding RNA. RefSeq lists it as uncharacterized. The record is from RefSeq and is a predicted model, not a curated record. The transcript has 3 exons. Lineage: Eukaryota; Metazoa; Arthropoda; Insecta; Hymenoptera; Apidae.
CUCCGACAAUUGAUUACUUCUGAAGUUCAACUCGCGAAGUGACGUUUGCGUCCGAAAUAAUUCAUCGGGUAAUUCUCUCAGUCGAUUCUCUUCCAAACCAAGAUACUUGAGACUCGUCAAGUCUUUAAAUAGGUCGACAGGAGAGGUCGAGCAAUACUAGCAACGUUGUGCUCAAGAAGAGGCUCUCUGGUAGAUUUCGCAACUUAUUCGAAGACGCAUCUCUGCAUCGCAUCAAGGAGAAGAUACAUUUAAUAUUAGAAAAAGGAGAAGGAUGGAGGAGAAGGAUGGAAGGAAGGCUUACAAUUUUAACACGUCCCGAGGAACUAGCUGCGCCGCAGGAAGAUCCAACAGAUCCUGCCUCCAACAGGACACCAAUUUUAUUUCCGGUUGACACCUAC